RNAcentral lists this ribosomal RNA (253 nucleotides) under uncultured bacterium. RNAcentral's name for it is "partial 16S ribosomal RNA". It matches the Rfam family "Bacterial small subunit ribosomal RNA", at positions 524 to 776 of the family's 1533-position model. The record is from RNAcentral.
GACGGAGGGUGCUAGCGUUGUUCGGAAUCACUGGGCGUAAGGGCGCGUAGGCGGCCUUGCAAGUCGGUUGGUGAAAGCCCGGGGCUCAACCCCGGAGGUGCGGCCGAGACUGCAGGGCUGGAGGCCGGAAGAGGAGGGUGGAAUACCCAGUGUAGAGGUGAAAUUCGUAGAUAUUGGGUGGAACACCGGUGGCGAAAGCGGCUCUCUGGUCCGGACCUGACGCUGAGGCGCGAAAGCGUGGGGAGCAAACAGG